Molecule: long non-coding RNA, 458 nt
Organism: Heterocephalus glaber (naked mole-rat)
Lineage: Eukaryota; Metazoa; Chordata; Mammalia; Rodentia; Bathyergidae
Source: Ensembl
UUCCACUGAAUUUUAUUGACUGCAAAGGAGUCAUUAAGGUAUACAAUAUAAUGAUGGGAAACUCACCCAAGGUCCCGAAUCGUGCAGAACAUGCCGAAUCAGCCCACUGCAGACAGGCAGGUCUGCACACGGCCUACCCAGGUCCCGAGUCAUGCAGAAUACGCCGAAUCAGCCUGCUGCAGACAGGCAGGUCUGUGCACACCCUACCAAGGUCCUGAGUCAUGCAGAACAUGCAGAAUCAGCCCACUCACUGGCAACAAUCCACUGGACCCCCAGCCCCACUCCUCUGUACAGCCACCUGGUUCUACACAACGAAGACCCAGAAGACACCAGACCACCAGACCAUGGUACUGAGUCCCACUGCUCCAGCCCAGAGGGCUGGGAGAAUAGCCCAGGGGCACAGAAUUUGCUUAGGAUGUACAUGGCCUUGGAUUUAAUUCUCAGCAUCACAAAACAAG